Molecule: transfer-messenger RNA, 212 nt
Filed under: Gammaproteobacteria bacterium
Lineage: Bacteria; Pseudomonadati; Pseudomonadota; Gammaproteobacteria
Description: partial transfer-messenger RNA
Rfam family: transfer-messenger RNA
About the family: Bacterial tmRNA, also known as 10Sa RNA or SsrA, is named for its dual tRNA and mRNA-like properties. Its role is to liberate the mRNA from a stalled ribosome.
Source: RNAcentral
AUGAGUUUGGCCUGCAAGGCGAAAUCGACGGCAAUGUUUGCAGGACCGCGUGGAUGCCUCGCCCGGGGCUGAAGCGUUAAAACCAAUCGGGCUCGCAGACAGCACCCUGACCGUUGGGUCGCUUGACGCUAAAUCAAUAAACGGACUCUAAGCAUGUAGAGCCAAUUGCCGAGUGCCAACGGACGCGGGUUCAACUCCCGCCGCCUCCACCA